This 460-nucleotide ribosomal RNA is filed under the name uncultured bacterium. RNAcentral describes it as "partial 16S ribosomal RNA". It matches the Rfam family "Bacterial small subunit ribosomal RNA", at positions 338 to 795 of the family's 1533-position model. The record is from RNAcentral.
CCUACGGGUGGCAGCAGUGAGGAAUAUUGGUCAAUGGACGAGAGUCUGAACCAGCCAAGUAGCGUGAAGGAUGACUGCCCUAUGGGUUGUAAACUUCUUUUAUAUGGGAAUAAAUCAGGGUACGUAUACACGCUUGUAUGUACCAUAUGAAUAAGGCAUGGCUAACUCCGUGCCAGCAGCCGCGGUAAUACGGAGGAUCGGAGCGUUAACCGGAUUUAUUGGGUUUAAAGGGAGCGUAGGUGGAUUUGUAAGUCAGGUGUGAAAGUUUGCGGCUCAACCGUAAAAUUGCAGUUGAAACUGGCAGUCUGGAGUGCAGUAGAGGUGAGCGGAAUUCGUGGUGUAGCGGUGAAAUGCUUAGAUAUCACGAAGAACUCCGAUUGCGAAGGCAGCUUACUGGACUGCAACUGACACUGAUGCUCGAAAGUGUGGGUAUCAAACAGGAUUAGAUACCCUAGUAGUC